Mus caroli (Ryukyu mouse) is the source of this 601-nucleotide long non-coding RNA. RefSeq lists it as uncharacterized. The record is from RefSeq and is a predicted model, not a curated record. NCBI's taxonomy places the organism in Eukaryota, Metazoa, Chordata, Mammalia, Rodentia, Muridae.
UCUACUCAGACAUGGUGAGAGGCACAAUGACGCAGGGAAAUGCAACAACCUCUAAGGAGAAGGCAAAUAGCAACUCAAAACCAACUUAGAGUGUACACAAGGAAAAUCAGCAGGAAAAUCAGAACAGGCAUUAUAAUGGAAUGGUUUGAAGAUAUUCAUCGGAAGAAGAGCAGAAUGAUUCUAAGAGCCAAGAUGGUGGAAACCGGGUUUGCUGGAUCCAACAAGUCAAGUUGCACACAGCAAUUGUGAUGGCUCGUCCAAGACUUGCACAAGCUCCGUCCAGAAAAAAAAAAAAUCCACGAAUAAUGAUGGAGGAAGAUAUUUCUCUUCUGUACAGCCUGUUUCUGCAUCACAGCUGGGUUUUCAUGAAACCAAAGGCCCUCACCACGACACCAGCACUCUGCUCUCUUUAACCUUCUGUCUACAGAGAGCCACAUGAAAGCGAUGUAAUUUGACCAGAAGGAAGAGAAAGGAGUCUGCAUAGGUGCAAACAUCUGGAACAGAGGGAACCAUGAACCCAUCACUGAUUGCCUCAGUGCCCUUGACCUAAAGCUCGUGUGCUGGCGUGUUUGCAGUUUUCCUCUCUGCUUCCCACUUUUUG